UUAUGUUCAUUGAGUCUUUCUCUGCGUAUUCUUCGUUUAUUUUCUUACAUACUAAACUUAGGUUUUGAUUCAACUACAAAUACAAAUAGUAAUGUACAAUGUUUAAUGUUGAGUUAGAAUUCACGGUCUCUUUAAUAAAGGUUGGCAGUUACGAGUUCUUUUUGCAAACGCACAAGAUAUUAUUGUUUCUCUCCUUAAUGGUGCGUUUGAUUUGCUAAAAAAAU
This 224-nucleotide long non-coding RNA is filed under the name Lathyrus oleraceus (garden pea). RNAcentral's name for it is "Pisum sativum (pea) long non-coding RNA (PSAT_LNC032257)". Lineage: Eukaryota; Viridiplantae; Streptophyta; Magnoliopsida; Fabales; Fabaceae. The record is from RNAcentral.